GUGGGGAAGAGCACGCAGCAGGCGGGGGUGGGAACUGGCAGUCAAGUCUGCUGUCCCGGCUGCCACAGCGUGGAAGAGGAGGCUGGAGAAUCCGUGGAGCUCGGAGCUGCGCAGUUAAACUAUGCCCCAGACUUCCAUCAUCUUCUCCAGCAUACUUGGGCCCAGCUGUAGUGAACAGGUGCAGCCUGUAAUGGGGGAGCAAGGAGGCGGGGCCAGUGGUUCCAGGGACCUCAUCUUCCAGGAUGGACGCCUCAUCUCCGGGUCCCUGGAGGCCUUGAUGGAGCACCUUGUCCCCACAGUGGAUUAUUACCCUGAUGGAACGUACAUCUUCACAUUUCUCUUGAGCUCCCGGGUGUUCAUACCCCCUCAUGACCUGCUGGUCCGUGUGGGGCAGAUCUACCUGGAGCAGAGGCAGCAGCUGGAGGCUGGGUCUGAGAAGGCCAUAUUGAAGACCUUCUCAGCCAAGAUCAUGCAGCUGCUAAAGGAGUGGACAGAGGCCUUCCCCUGUGACUUCCAGGAUGAGAAGGCCAUGGCUGAACUGAAGGCCAUCACCCACUGGGUCAUGCAGUGUGAUGAGGAGAGUGGCACAGUGAAGAAGGCCAUUGCCCAAAUGACACAGAACCUGCUGUUAUCCCUGGCUGCCCGGAGCCAGCUUCAGGAGCUUCGAGAGAGGCUCUGCUCACCAACUGUAGACAAAGGGCCCAUCAUGAAGGCCAAGCCACCGACCACUCAGAAGGAUAUCCUGGGCGUGUGCUGUGACCCCAUGGUGCUGGCGCAGCAGCUGACUCAUAUUGAGCUGGAGAGAGUCAGCAGCAUUCACCCCCAGGACCUGAUGAAGAUCAUCAGCCAUGUGGACACUCCAGACAAGCACAGGUGCCAAGGGGACCUGACCAAGACCUACAGCCUGGAGGCCUAUGACAACUGGUUCAAUUGCCUCAGCCUACUAGUGGCCACUGAGGUGUGCCGGGUAGUGAAGAAGAAGCACCGGACCCGCAUGCUGGAGUUCUUCAUCGAUGUAGCCCGGGAGUGCUUCAACAUUGGAAACUUCAACUCUAUGAUGGCCAUCAUCUCUGGCAUGAACCUCAGUCCUGUGGCUCGGCUGAAGAAAACAUGGUCCAAAGUUAAGAUGGCCAAGUUUGAUGUCUUAGAGCACCACAUGGAUCCAUCCAGCAACUUCUGCAACUACCGCACAGCCCUCCAGGGGGCCACACAGAGGUCUCAGACAGCCAACAGCAGCCAAGAGAAGAUUGUUAUUCCUGUGUUCAAUCUUUUUGUUAAGGACAUCUACUUCCUGCACAAAAUCCAUACUAACCACCUGCCCAAUGGGCACAUUAACUUCAAGAAAUUUUGGGAGAUCUCCAGACAGAUCCAUGAGUUUAUGACAUGGACACAAGUAAAGUGUCCCUUUGAAAAGGACAAGAAGAUUCAGAGUUAUCUGCUUACAGCGCCCAUCUACAGCGAGGAAGCACUGUUCAUCGCCUCCUUUGAAAGUGAAGGUCCUGAAAACCACAUGGAAAAGGACAGCUGGAAGACCCUAAGGGCUACUCUCCUUAACAGAGCCUGAAGGUGUGGAUGCAGCCUGCAGACACAGGAUGAAGCACACCUGGGAACCAAGCUUUAAUCUUGAUAAUGGGUUGAGAUGAGGUGGCCUCACUGGUUGGGGUCCAUUUGUACAUAACUUUUAUGGGAAAAAAUGGAGGUUUUGUUUGUGAAUAGUUUGGAACUGCUCCCUGGUCUCUCUUCAUAUGCCUGGCUUCUGUAGGAGCCUGCAGUUGGAAGCCUGUCACUUGCUAAUUCCCACAGCUCCUAGGAGAGCCUAGAGAUGUGGAGCAAGGCCUCAGGAAGGAAGUGGCUGCUGAUGUCACCUUUAGCUCUGGGUGGAGCAAGAAUAUUUACACUGUAUUGUCACAGUGUUUUUGCACUUUUUAGAUGUUUUAGAUAGUACAUGUUGUAUAUUGAUAGUACAUAUUGUUUUGCUUAUGUAUUUGAGAUAAAGACUUGAAACUCAAGAGUAUAUAUUUGGAAUAUAACAUUAGAACAUUUUCUGUACAUGUGUUAUGGAGCUUUCCUAUCACAUACACAUCACUGGAGCCUUAGUUCUAAUGCCCACUGGCACAUCAUCUGUGUUUACCACUUUAUUUUCCCAGUUGGAUACAUUUCCUAACUAUGCUGUUUUGGUAUUGUGAGAUGAACU
RNA transcript from Phyllostomus hastatus (greater spear-nosed bat), 2194 nucleotides. It is a transcript of the gene named RasGEF domain family member 1A, with no coding region annotated. NCBI's taxonomy places the organism in Eukaryota, Metazoa, Chordata, Mammalia, Chiroptera, Phyllostomidae. The transcript is spliced from 14 exons. The record is from RefSeq and is a predicted model, not a curated record.